GUAACAUGGCUGCUGUUGGAGAACCAGCAGCAGGAUCAGUAUGUUGUUGUGUUUUGAUGGAUGUUUGUUUGUUUGUGGUUUCUCUGUUCACGGGAUUGAUUGGCAUU
This 107-nucleotide ribosomal RNA is filed under the name Encephalitozoon cuniculi. RNAcentral's name for it is "small subunit ribosomal RNA". The record is from RNAcentral. Lineage: Eukaryota; Fungi; Microsporidia; Unikaryonidae.